CGGAGCGAAUCCCCAAAAGGCGUCUCAGUUCGGAUUGCAGGCUGCAACUCGCCUGUAUGAAGUCGGAAUUGCUAGUAAUCGUGGAUCAGCAUGCCACGGUGAAUACGUUCCCGGGCCUUGUACACACCGCCCGUCACACCAUGAGAGCCGGGAACACCCGAAGUCCGUAGUCUAACCUAUAUGGAGGGCGCGGCCGAAGGUGGGUUUGGUAAUUGGGGUGAAGUCGUAACAAGGUAGC
Molecule: ribosomal RNA, 238 nt
Filed under: uncultured bacterium
Lineage: Bacteria
Description: partial 16S ribosomal RNA
Rfam family: Bacterial small subunit ribosomal RNA
Source: RNAcentral